CAGCAGCCGCGGUAAUACGAAGGGGGCUAGCGUUGUUCGGAUUUACUGGGCGUAAAGGGCGCGUAGGCGGACUGAUAAGUCAGGGGUGAAAUCCCAAGGCUCAACCUUGGAACUGCCUUUGAUACUGUUUGUCUUGAGUUCGAAAGAGGUAAGUGGAACUGCGAGUGUAGAGGUGAAAUUCGUAGAUAUUCGCAAGAACACCAGUGGCGAAGGCGGCUUACUGGCUCGAAACUGACGCUGAGGCGCGAAAGCGUGGGGAGCAAACAGGAUUAGAUACCCCUGUAGUCCCUGUCUCUUAUAA
RNAcentral lists this ribosomal RNA (301 nucleotides) under uncultured bacterium. Its description in RNAcentral is "partial 16S ribosomal RNA". It matches the Rfam family "Bacterial small subunit ribosomal RNA", at positions 509 to 809 of the family's 1533-position model. The record is from RNAcentral.